GCCCCUAUAGUUCAGUGGUAAAGCGUCAGCCUUAUUUACUGAAGUUCUGUAGUUCGAUCCUGCUUGUGGCA
RNAcentral lists this transfer RNA (71 nucleotides) under Setaria italica (foxtail millet). It matches the Rfam family "tRNA". Rfam says of the family: Transfer RNA (tRNA) molecules are approximately 80 nucleotides in length. Their secondary structure includes four short double-helical elements and three loops (D, anti-codon, and T loops). Further hydrogen bonds mediate the characteristic L-shaped molecular structure. tRNAs have two regions of fundamental functional importance: the anti-codon, which is responsible for specific mRNA codon recognition, and the 3' end, to which the tRNAs corresponding amino acid is attached (by aminoacyl-tRNA synthetases). tRNAs cope with the degeneracy of the genetic code in two manners: having more than one tRNA (with a specific anti-codon) for a particular amino acid; and 'wobble' base-pairing, i.e. permitting non-standard base-pairing at the 3rd anti-codon position. The record is from Rfam by way of RNAcentral. Lineage: Eukaryota; Viridiplantae; Streptophyta; Magnoliopsida; Poales; Poaceae.